This is a long non-coding RNA of Cercocebus atys (sooty mangabey), 2575 nucleotides long. RefSeq lists it as uncharacterized. The transcript has 4 exons. The record is from RefSeq and is a predicted model, not a curated record. Lineage: Eukaryota; Metazoa; Chordata; Mammalia; Primates; Cercopithecidae.
UUCUUUUCUUUCCAGAUAAGCAAAGCUUUUAAACUCCUGACCUCAGAGGCUCCUCUUCUAUACUCUGUAAUAUAUAAUCUGAAUAGCCAAAUUGCCACGUUUUCCCAGCAGCAACCUUAACUUGGGUCACUUGGGCGGGUGUAGGUCAAUAUGGGAAAGUCGUUUCAGUGUCCUCUCAUUAUUCUACCAAACCACUGACAGGCAAAAACCCAACCAACUCGAUGUAUCAAAUUUACUGUCCACUGUUUUUGUGCAUGAUUUCUAAUCUAAUUAAUUCAAAACCACAAAUAACUGGUUAAUUUUAGUCAAGAGGUUAUCUACCACCUUUAAGUAGAUGUCUAAAAUAGGGAACAGUCUAAUUAAAAUAUAGGCCAGACCAAGGAAGAUGAACAGAGCCUUACUUUUUAACACCAUCUUGUGGGAUAUAACUUCAAAUCUAGCAUUCAGGGACAAAAUGGGGCAUGAGUAAAAGGAUGACUUCGCUAGAAAAUAAUUAGUAAGAUGUUUUUUAAAUUUAGAAAAACCAUGAGAUUGAAGAGCAGAGGAGAUAUAUGUCCCAACUCACAUAUAUUUCAAUCCCUUAUUUUAAAAACAGCUCCUGUUUUUGUUUUGGAUAAAAGCUGAGCACCAAAUUCCCUUUCUGGUCCCCUCAUCCAAAAUCCUAGUAGAAUUCCUUGAUUAGAAGCUAGUUCACACUUCUCCCCACCUUUUUUUUCAAACGCAGAGGUGGUUUUUGGAAUAUGGGCCUCAACCAUCACAUUCCAGCUUUAAAGUAAAAAGACGUCAUGUGACCAUCACAUCAGAGACUUGGGGCACGUGAUUCCAAUUGGUAUGUGUGGGGCUCCAGCCACUUAGCUGGAAUUCACCAUAAACUGCAUCUCGAGGAUCAAGUUUAGGCUCCCCAGUCCAUUGUGACAUCCAGCAAAGUGGAGCCGGGCGCCCCCAGCAUCCCGUCUGUCUGAUGCUAAAUGGUGAGGCUCUCCAACCCACUUAGUUCCAAGCUCAACCUUUUGCAAAAGCUCAGCCUUCUGCACCAAUGGGGAUAUCGUGCUGCUCAGAGAUGGGUUUUCGUUAUGUUGCCCAGGCUGAUGUAGAACUCCUGGGCUCAAGCAAUCCACCUGCUUUGGCCUCCCAAAGCGCUGGGAUUACAGACUUGAGCCACCAUGCCCUGCCGGCUUAAUGUUAUAUUCAAAUUUCUCCAACUGAAGGGCAUGUACUGUUGAGCAUGCUCAGAAGCCAAGGUUCAGGCCAUUCUUCAACUAUAGAUGCUUCAACUCAUCUCUCUUCCUUUGAAAUAUUCUCUCCCUUAUUAAUUUCACCAAGUAACCCCCUGGUUAUUCCCCUAGAACACACAGAGCUGCUACUAGUCUGUGCCUUAUGUGAUUUAGAAAAAGACUCUUGGAAUGCAGCCCCACACCAUGAUGUACAGAGCAUGAGUUGGGUAUCAGCCCCAUUUUAUUCUCUAAUUCAGGUGCCCUUGCACAGUGAAUAACAUGGCAGCUGUGAGACUAGUGAUGCUAAACAGAUUUAUUUUUUGGUGCAAAUUCUAAUGAAUUAAUAAUAGCUGUUUCAAAAAAACACACAGUGCUAAGAAAGACUCUGAGGCUGUUUUCAGGCUCAGUAGAUAAAGUGUACUAUAAGCUGUGAUGAUUUGCCUUGGUUGGGAGAAUGGCACUAGGUGUGACAAGAAUUUGCUAUCUAAGUACUAGAGGCAUCUCGCCCAUCCUGAAGAGGCAGGAAGCCUGGAGUAGGCAGAGGUUGAGGUAGAAUGUGGGCCCAGACAAGUUAUAUAAUUUAUAGAACACAACUUUCAAAUGCCCUUGUAAUACAAGGCAACAAUCCUACUUUUCCAGGUCUCUAACAAAAAGCAUCUAGCUGAGCUAGAGUGUUUUCAUGAGGUGUCUGCUACACAAAACAAUAUCUUGCUUAAUAAAUAACACCCGUUUCUACUUGGUGUCAUUUUACUGUUUAAUCAAAACUUAUUUUCACCACUCUUAACCACAGUCUAAAGGAGGAUGCUUCAAUCUCUUCCUGAUUUAACCUUAAACUUGGUCAUGUGUACCAUAUGACUAGGAUUGCCAGAGUCAGCCACUCUCCCAACAAAGGAUGCUCAGUUAAGUAUUGCACAGAACACACUUAUACUAAAAAUUGUUUGUUGUUUUCCUGAAAUUCAAAUUUAAUGGGGUAUAAUGUAUUUUACUGGGCAAUCCUACCUAUGAUGGACAUAUAUAUUUUUCCCCAGCUUUAUUAAGGUAUAAUUGACAAAUAAAAGUGUAAAUAUUUAUGAUAUAAAUGGACAUAUAUACAGAUGCUCCUCGACUUUUGAGGGGAUUACAUCCUGAUAAACCUGUCACAAGUUAAAAAUACUGUGAGUUGAAAAUUCAUUUGACACACCUAACUUACUGAAUAUCCUAGCUUGGCCUAGCCAACCUUAAAUGUGCCCAGAACACCUACAUCAGCAUAUAGUUGGGCUGAUGUAACACAAACCCUAUUUUAUCAUAAACGGUUUAAUAUCUCAUGUAAUUUAUUGAAUAUUGUACUGAAAAUGAAAGAUAAAAUGGUUGUAUGGGUACUC